Molecule: ribosomal RNA, 442 nt
Filed under: uncultured bacterium
Lineage: Bacteria
Description: bacterial SSU rRNA
Rfam family: Bacterial small subunit ribosomal RNA
Source: RNAcentral
ACUCCUACGGGAGGCAGCAGUGGGGAAUAUUGCACAAUGGGCGCAAGCCUGAUGCAGCCAUGCCGCGUGUGUGAAGAAGGCCUUCGGGUUGUAAAGCACUUUCAGUUGUGAGGAAAGGUUGAGUCGCUAAUAUCGGACUAGCUGUGACGUUAUGCAACAGAAGAAGCACCGGCUAACUCCGUGCCAGCAGCCGCGGUAAUACGGAGGGUGCGAGCGUUAAUCGGAAUUACUGGGCGUAAAGCGCGUGUAGGUGGCUUGUUAAGCCAGAUGUGAAAGCCCCGGGCUCAACCUGGGAACUGCAUUUGGAACUGGCAGGCUAGAGUUUUGUAGAGGGUUGGUAGAAUUUCGAGGUGUAGCGGUGAAAUGCAGUAGAGAUCUGAAGGAAUACCGGUGGCGAAGGCGACCACCUGGCCCAAUAACUGACACUGAGACGCGAAGGCGU